This is a long non-coding RNA of Hippocampus comes (tiger tail seahorse), 268 nucleotides long. RefSeq lists it as uncharacterized. The record is from RefSeq and is a predicted model, not a curated record. The transcript is spliced from 3 exons. Lineage: Eukaryota; Metazoa; Chordata; Actinopteri; Syngnathiformes; Syngnathidae.
AUCAACCAUUUCUUUUCAUGUGCCAUAAUGCUCCAGAAGCCUCUCCCGAUUACCAGCGCACUCGGACUCCAUCACAUUACAGAAUGGAACUUCCCAGUCAACCGCCUCCACAACACUUGAACCAAUAAACAAAAAUUUAGUAGCACUUCGAGGACGAAGAAGCCUGGACCAACAAGAGAGCAGGUCAAACACCGAUACAGGGAAACGUGAAGAAACUCUAAACAAGUACAACUCAACUCUCUCUGACUUGCCACCAACCAAGUGAAUG